GGCCCUUUCGCCUAAGUAAGCAUUGUGGUUCGCGUAAAAAGGUAGGCAAUGUUAAAAAAAAAAAAAAGUAAGGGGACUAAAUUGCAAGAAGAUAAUAAACCUCUUUCCCAUUAAGUUAGAGGAUUUAAAGAGUAAAGUGGGGAGUUAGUGAAAGAAAAGCUCUUGAAAUUUCUUUAGUUAAUACUCAGCCACUAAUUGGGUCAAAUUGAUAAUCCAAUGAAAUAUCUCUUUAAUAGUCUGACCAGGUAUCAUCUACCUAUUGGGAUGCCUAACCUAAUUUUUGAUUCAAGACCGAGUCGGUACACAAUGCUGAUAUAUCUAUUUUACUCGAGGACGAGCAAAAUUUAAGUUGGAGG
This 356-nucleotide long non-coding RNA is filed under the name Elaeis guineensis (African oil palm). RNAcentral describes it as "long non-coding RNA (EGUI_LNC069396)". Lineage: Eukaryota; Viridiplantae; Streptophyta; Magnoliopsida; Arecales; Arecaceae. The record is from RNAcentral.